This 248-nucleotide unclassified non-coding RNA is filed under the name Hevea brasiliensis (rubber tree). Lineage: Eukaryota; Viridiplantae; Streptophyta; Magnoliopsida; Malpighiales; Euphorbiaceae. The record is from RNAcentral.
AAUCAUUGAAGUCACCACUAUUUAGGUUUGGUCAAGUUUUUAGUUCUAAUAUGGCUGGCGAUCCUUUGACAAGCUCUAAUGGCAAUGCUAAUGUAAAUGCACCACCUGAUCCUCGGAGGACUUAUCAAGUUGUUGUAGCUGCUACUGAAAAUAUGGGCAUUGGUAAGGAUGGGAAACUACCAUGGAGGUUGCCUUCUGAUCUCAGCUUUUUUAAAAACAUAACCACAACAACAUCCGAUCAUGGGAAA